CCUCCACGCUGAAGCUUACCCUCUCCCAGAGGCGACCGCAACCGGGCGCGGCCGCUCCAGCCCGCGCUGGACCGGUAACCACCGCCGAGCUAAGCGAGGAUCUAGCCGAACACGUCACGCCACCACGCCGCCUGCCGGCGAGCACAUCACCGGAGUCGCCCACCCGCUGCUGUGGACGUCGACCACGUGUUACCGCUGCCGUACGUCGAGGACACGGGGCGUUGUGAGAGGAAGGUGCGUGUCGUCCUCGCCCUCGUUCCUACGACUCCGUCAUCAAGUCAUCUUCCUUUUACUCCGUCUCUUCCAAAGUGGUUGGAGAAGAUGUGACUGUUCAGAAAAGAAAGGUCCUAACGGUACUACUCGACGACGACAUCACGAAAUAUUAAAAAACCGGGGAAGGAUUUACAAGCGUCGGACUAUCAAGACGUGUUAACCAUCCUCGUCGCUUACACGAGCACCUUCGAGUAAUGGAACUAAUCGCUGCCGCGGCGAGGAGGAGUACCGGUGCCCACUUCGUCGUCGCCGCGGCGAGGAGGAGUACCGGUACCCACUUCGUCGUCGCCGCGGCGAGGAGGAGUACCGGUGCCCACUUCGUCGUCGCCGCGGCGAGGAGGAGUACCGGUACCCACUUCGUCGUCGCCACGGCGAGGAGGAGUACCGGUACCAGCGUAGGAGGAGUGCGUGGAGGAAACGUGCGCGAA
Molecule: ribosomal RNA, 701 nt
Filed under: Triticum aestivum (bread wheat)
Lineage: Eukaryota; Viridiplantae; Streptophyta; Magnoliopsida; Poales; Poaceae
Description: partial small subunit ribosomal RNA
Source: RNAcentral